RNAcentral lists this ribosomal RNA (495 nucleotides) under uncultured archaeon. Its description in RNAcentral is "bacterial SSU rRNA". It matches the Rfam family "Archaeal small subunit ribosomal RNA", at positions 860 to 1354 of the family's 1478-position model. The record is from RNAcentral.
AGGAAUUGGCGGGGGAGCACCACAACGGGUGGAGCUUGUGGUUUAAUUGGAUUCAACGCCGGAAAUCUUACCGGGACCGACAGCAACAUGAAGGCCAGGCUGAAGACUUUGCCGGAUUAGCUGAGAGGUGGUGCAUGGCCGUCGUCAGUUCGUACUGUGAAGCAUCCUGUUAAGUCAGGCAACGAGCGAGACCCACGCCCACAGUUGCCAGCGUACUCUCCGGAGUGACGGGUACACUGUGGGGACCGCCGCUGCUAAAGCGGAGGAAGGAAUGGGCAACGGUAGGUCAGUAUGCCCCGAAUAUCCCGGGCUACACGCGAGCUACAAUGGUUGGUACAAUGGGUAUCUACCCUGAAAGGGGAUGGAAAUCUCCUAAAGCCAAUAUUAGUUUGGAUUGAGGGCUGCAACUCGCCCUCAUGAAGCUGGAAUCGGUAGUAAUCGCGUUUCAACAGAACGCGGUGAAUACGUCCCUGCUCCUUGUACACACCGCCCGUC